GGUUUGGAUUCACUUUGUGCGCCGUUCCUCUACUUGAAUUUCAAUAACGAAGCGCUGGCAUAUGCCUGCAUGUCCGCCUUCAUCCCAAAGUACUUGUACAACUUCUUCCUGAAGGACAACUCUCAUGUCAUUCAAGAGUACUUGACCGUCUUCUCCCAAAUGAUCGCCUUCCACGACCCUGAGCUAAGCAACCAUCUAAAUGAGAUUGGCUUCAUCCCAGAUCUUUAUGCCAUUCCAUGGUUCCUGACCAUGUUUACACGUAAGUCGUUUUUC
This is a long non-coding RNA of Notothenia coriiceps (black rockcod), 273 nucleotides long. RefSeq lists it as uncharacterized. The transcript has 4 exons. NCBI's taxonomy places the organism in Eukaryota, Metazoa, Chordata, Actinopteri, Perciformes, Nototheniidae. The record is from RefSeq and is a predicted model, not a curated record.